Molecule: ribosomal RNA, 709 nt
Filed under: uncultured Staphylococcus sp.
Lineage: Bacteria; Bacillati; Bacillota; Bacilli; Caryophanales; Staphylococcaceae
Description: bacterial SSU rRNA
Rfam family: Bacterial small subunit ribosomal RNA
Source: RNAcentral
UCGAGCGAACGGACGAGAAGCUUGCUUUUCUGAUGUUAGCGGCGGACGGGUGAGUAACACGUGGAUAACCUACCUAUAAGACUGGGAUAACUUCGGGAAACCGGAGCUAAUACCGGAUAAUAUUUUGAACCGCAUGGUUCAAAAGUGAAAGACGGUCUUGCUGUCACUUAUAGAUGGAUCCGCGCUGCAUUAGCUGGUAGGUAAGGUAACGGCUUACCAAGGCAACGAUGCAUAGCCGACCUGAGAGGGUGAUCGGCCACACUGGAACUGAGACACGGUCCAGACUCCUACGGGAGGCAGCAGUAGGGAAUCUUCCGCAACGGGCGAAAGCCUGACGGAGCAACGCCGCGUGAGUGAUGAAGGUCUUCGGAUCGUAAAACUCUGUUAUUAGGGAAGAACAUAUGUGUAAGUGACUGUGCACAUCUUGACGGUACCUAAUCAGAAAGCCACGGCUAACUACGUGCCAGCAGCCGCGGUAAUACGUAGGUGGCAAGCGUUAUCCGGAAUUAUUGGGCGUAAAGCGCGCGUAGGCGGUUUUUUAAGUCUGAUGUGAAAGCCCACGGCUCAACCGUGGAGGGUCAUUGGAAACUGGAAAACUUGAGUGCAGAAGAGGAAAGUGGAAUUCCAUGUGUAGCGGUGAAAUGCGCAGAGAUAUGGAGGAACACCAGUGGCGAAGGCGACUUUCUGGUCUGUAACUGACGCUGAUGUG